Molecule: ribosomal RNA, 501 nt
Filed under: uncultured bacterium
Lineage: Bacteria
Description: partial 16S ribosomal RNA
Rfam family: Bacterial small subunit ribosomal RNA
Source: RNAcentral
AUUGAACGCUGGCGGCAUGCCUUACACAUGCAAGUCGAACAGCAGCACGGGUGCUUGCACCUGGUGGCGAGUGGCGAACGGGUGAGUAAUACAUCGGAACGUACCUUAUCGUGGGGGAUAACGCAGCGAAAGCUGUGCUAAUACCGCAUACGCCCUGAGGGGGAAAGCGGGGGAUCGAAAGACCUCGCGCGAUUAGAGCGGCCGAUGCCUGAUUAGCUUGUUGGUGGGGUAAAAGCCCACCAAGGCGACGAUCAGUAGCUGGUCUGAGAGGACGAUCAGCCACACUGGGACUGAGACAAGGCCCAGACUCCUACGGGAGGCAGCAGUGGGGAAUUUUGGACAAUGGGGGCAACCCUGAUCCAGCAAUGCCGCGUGAGUGAAGAAGGCCUUCGGGUUGUAAAGCUCUUUCGUCAGGGAAGAAACACCGGCUCUAACACAGUCCGGGAAUGACGGUACCUGAAGAAGAAGCCCCGGCUAACUUCGUGCCAGCAGCCGCCGCCG